GACGAACGCUGGCGGCGUGCCUAAUACAUGCAAGUAGAACGCUGAAGAGAGGAGCUUGCUCUUCUUGGAUGAGUUGCGAACGGGUGAGUAACGCGUAGGUAACCUGCCUUGUAGCGGGGGAUAACUAUUGGAAACGAUAGCUAAUACCGCAUAACAAUGGAUGACUUAUGUCAUUUAUUUGAAAGGGGCAAAUGCUCCACUACAAGAUGGACCUGCGUUGUAUUAGCUAGUAGGUGGGGUAACGGCUCACCUAGGCGACGAUACAUAGCCGACCUGAGAGGGUGAUCGGCCACACUGGGACUGAGACACGGCCCAGACUCCUACGGGAGGCAGCAGUAGGGAAUCUUCGGCAAUGGGGGCAACCCUGACCGAGCAACGCCGCGUGAGUGAAGAAGGUUUUCGGAUCGUAAAGCUCUGUUGUAAGUCAAGAACGAGUGUGAGAGUGGAAAGUUCACACUGUGACGGUAGCUUACCAGAAAGGGACGGCUAACUACGUGCCAGCAGCCGCGGUAAUACGUAGGUCCCGAGCGUUGUCCGGAUUUAUUGGGCGUAAAGCGAGCGCAGGCGGUUUGAUAAGUCUGAAGUUAAAGGCUGUGGCUCAACCAUAGUUCGCUUUGGAAACUGUCAAACUUGAGUGCAGAAGGGGAGAGUGGAAUUCCAUGUGUAGCGGUGAAAUGCGUAGAUAUAUGGAGGAACACCGGUGGCGAAAGCGGCUCUCUGGUCUGUAACUGACGCUGAGGCUCGAAAGCGUGGGGAGCGAACAGG
RNAcentral lists this ribosomal RNA (765 nucleotides) under uncultured Streptococcus sp. RNAcentral describes it as "bacterial SSU rRNA". It matches the Rfam family "Bacterial small subunit ribosomal RNA", at positions 28 to 776 of the family's 1533-position model. The record is from RNAcentral. Lineage: Bacteria; Bacillati; Bacillota; Bacilli; Lactobacillales; Streptococcaceae.